CCUACGGGUGGCAGCAGUGGGGAAUAUUGCACAAUGGGGGAAACCCUGAUGCAGCGACGCCGCGUGAGCGAUGAAGUUUUUCGGAAUGUAAAGCUCUAUCAGCAGGGAAGAAUAUGACGGUAUCUGAGUAAGAAGCACCGGCUAACUCCGUGCCAGCAGCCGCGGUAAUACGUAGGGUGCAAGCGUUAUCCGGAAUUACUGGGCGUAAAGGGAGCGUAGGCGGCGUGCCAAGUCUGAUGUGAAAUCCUGGGGCUUAACCCCGGGGCUGCAUUUGAAACUGGCAGUCUGGAGUGCCGGAGAGGUAGGUGGAAUUCCUAGUGUAGCGGUGAAAUGCGUAGAUAUUAGGAGGAACACCAGUGGCGAAGGCGACCUGCUGGAAGAUGACUGACGCUGAGGCGCGAAAGCGUGGGGAGCAAACAGGAUUAGAUACCCGAGUAGUC
RNAcentral lists this ribosomal RNA (440 nucleotides) under uncultured bacterium. RNAcentral's name for it is "partial 16S ribosomal RNA". It matches the Rfam family "Bacterial small subunit ribosomal RNA", at positions 338 to 795 of the family's 1533-position model. The record is from RNAcentral.